GAGUUUGAUCCUGGCUCAGGACGAACGCUGGCGGCAUGCCUAACACAUGCAAGUCGAACGGACAUGGCGAGGAUAUAGCGAUAUAUUUUGAGCUAUGUUAGUGGCGAACGGGUGAGUAACACGUGAGCAACCUGCCCUUUACUACGGGAUAACGCUCGGAAAACAGGCGCUAAUACGGUAUAAGACCACACUAGUGCAUCAUAGAGCGGUAAAAGCGAUUUAGCGGUAAAGGAUGGGCUCGCGUUCCAAUUAGCUGGUUGGUAGGGUAACGGCCUACCAAGGCGACGAUUGGUAGCCGACCUGAGAGGGUGAUCGGCCACACUGGAAUCGAGACACGGUCCAGACUCCUACGGGAGGCAGCAGUGGGGAAUAUUGGGCAAUGGAGGAAACUCUUACCCAGCAAUGCCGCGUGAGCGAAGAAGGUCUUC
This 428-nucleotide ribosomal RNA is filed under the name uncultured prokaryote. Its description in RNAcentral is "bacterial SSU rRNA". It matches the Rfam family "Bacterial small subunit ribosomal RNA", at positions 9 to 419 of the family's 1533-position model. The record is from RNAcentral.